Vigna angularis (adzuki bean) is the source of this 1725-nucleotide RNA transcript. It is a transcript of the gene named RNA pseudouridine synthase 5, with no coding region annotated. The transcript is spliced from 15 exons. The record is from RefSeq and is a predicted model, not a curated record. NCBI's taxonomy places the organism in Eukaryota, Viridiplantae, Streptophyta, Magnoliopsida, Fabales, Fabaceae.
AAAAUUUAUUUUUAAUUAUGAGGGGGGAAAUCAAUUUAAUAAAGCAUACCUCAAAUUAAUCUCUCAAUCAAACAGAUAAUUCACGUCGUUUUGGUUUUCAAAUUCAGCCUUUCAGUUUUUUUUUUUCCAUGGCGUGCCGUAGGAAAUUUGGAAUUCCUUGGCCUGAAUGCAACGACGGUCUCUCCUACGACGACGUCGUUCGAACCUCUGAUUCCGGGUUGACUCUGAUAGAGUUUUACUCUACCAAGUACAAAAGUUCUGCUCCCUUACAAGGUUGGUUGCAGCGUAUAAAAAGUGGGCAGAUAACAUUUGAUGGAAGAGUUGUUACUGAUUCCAACGCAGUCCUCAGAGUUGGCUCAAAGCUAGUCUAUCAUAGACUUCCAUGGAAGGAACCUGAUGCACCACAUAUGAUUGAAGUAUUGUAUGAAGAUGAUGACAUGAUUGCUCUAAAUAAACCUUCUGGCUUGCAAGUUCUGCCAGGAGGGCUCUUCCAGCAAAGGACAGUUUUGACACAGCUUCAGUGGAAAGCCAACUUGCACAAAAAGCCUCAUCCUGUCCCAGUACAUCGUCUAGGGAGGGGAACUUCAGGAAUUUUGUUAUGUGCAAAGACAAAACUAGCCAGAGUUCGUCUUGCGUCUUAUUUUGCUGAUGGAACUUCUCACAUUGAAGGAAAAAGAGAUACAAACCCGGAAAUUGGGAAGAUUGCAAAGAUAUACCGAGGACUUGCGAGUGGGAUAGUGGAGAAUGACCAGGUGACUAUCAAUCAACCAAUUGGAGUAGUUAAAUAUCCAUGUGUUGCUAAAGGGUUAUACGUUGCCUCUGAAUCAGGAAAACCAGCACUCAGUGUGGUGAGCAUUCUGGAGAGAAACGUACAAGAAAACAGCACAUUGGUCCAGGUUAAGAUUCAGUCUGGACGGCCACAUCAAAUCCGUAUUCAUCUUUCUUUCAUGGGGCAUCCUCUGUUAGGUGAUCCCCUGUAUGAUGUCGGCGGGAAACCUAAAUGCUUAGAUUGUGACUCUAUAGAUGAGAGUUUUGCUGAAGAUGGGGGUUAUCAAAGGCCUAUAAAAGCAGUUCCUGGAGAUUGUGGGUAUAACUUGCAUGCACAUAAAUUGGUUCUGUCUCAUCCAUUAACUAACGAGAUAAUUGAAAUCACUGCACCGCUUCCUUCUACCCUCCAGACACCUGAAGAGGCAAAGGAAAUUGCUAGUAUGGAGCAGACUUUUCAAGAUGUUUAAGUGAAAGAUGUAUGAAGCCAAAGUAACGACGUGUUAUCUUCCUUGCCAACAUUUGUAUUCAAAAGUUCUAUCAAACACAACUACUUGAUAUCUCAACAAAUCCUCAUUUUCUUCACGAAAUUGUUUCACUAAUUUGUCCGAAACAGUGUCAAAAAAUUUCUGCAUGAUUGGAUGAAGCUGAAUAACCAGUAACUCAACACUUAUUUAUACCGAAUUCCCUAAUUCUACAAUUAGAAACGCCGCAGAGUCAAUGCCUACCGAAAUAAAGUAACUACGGGCAGAGUUGAAAUAAAGCAUCUGAUCUGUAAAGGCCAUCUCUGGAAGGAUCCAGAAGCUCGAAAAGAUCGUCAAAAUGAGUAGUGAGACGGCAAGGAUCCAGAAUUUGGCAAUGGUAAUGGCAAUCGCCCCUCCUAACCUUUUCAGAGAUUAUUUCUGUAUUUUCAUCCAAUACAACAAAUACAAAGCUGCUGCCAUAUUACAAGCACCUAAA